Podarcis lilfordi (Lilford's wall lizard) is the source of this 199-nucleotide non-coding RNA. Lineage: Eukaryota; Metazoa; Chordata; Lepidosauria; Squamata; Lacertidae. The record is from the annotation of a GenBank genome assembly.
AUGUGAGGGCGAUCUGGCUGUGACAUCUGUCACCCCAUUGAUCGCCAGGGUUGAUUCAGCUGAUCUGGCUGGCUAGGCGGGUGUCCCCUUCCUCCCUCACCGCUCCAUGUGCGUCCCUCCCGAAGCUGCACGCUCAGUGGAAGAGGACGACCAUCCCAGAUAGAAGGAGUAAAAUCAGUAUACUUGGAGGGUAUGAACA